Molecule: long non-coding RNA, 320 nt
Organism: Chiroxiphia lanceolata (lance-tailed manakin)
Lineage: Eukaryota; Metazoa; Chordata; Aves; Passeriformes; Pipridae
Exons: 3
Source: RefSeq, a predicted model, not a curated record
GUGCCAUGGCUUGGCAGCCUGCCUGCAAUCACUGGAUUGUCAGGAGUUCUUUCCCUCCCUUCCCCCAUUGCAAUGACAUGGCUGCGGGGGACCAUUGAUUUCUGCUCUCCACGUUGAAUAAAUGGAGGCAAGAAUAAGUAUGUGAGGCAGCUGGUGAGGAGCUUUCUGGUCAUUUCAAGGUUGGGAAGCAUUCUUUGGGGAGCGAUGCAUCAUUGUUACACGGCCUCAAAGCAAAAAAGGCAGCUGCAUCCAGACCCUGUGACAAAGGGUACCAAGCAGCAUCUUGAAUGUACCAGCCUAGAGGUGUCUGAAAAACUCCC